GCUUACGACCAUACCACCUUGAGAAUACGCCAUCCCGUCCGAUCUGGCAUGUCAAGCAAGGUUGGGCUCCACUAGUACUUGGAUCGGAGACGUCCUGGGAAUCUGGGGUGUUGUAAGCCAAU
This 122-nucleotide ribosomal RNA is filed under the name Subanguina moxae. Lineage: Eukaryota; Metazoa; Nematoda; Chromadorea; Rhabditida; Anguinidae. The record is from RNAcentral.